GAUCAUGGCUCAGGAUGAACGCUAGCGACAGGCCUAACACAUGCAAGUCGAGGGGCAGCGGGGAGGUAGCAAUACCUUUGCCAGCGACCGGCGCACGGGUGAGUAACACGUAUGCAAUCCACCUGUAACAGGGGGAUAACCCGGAGAAAUCCGGACUAAUACCCCAUAAUAUGGGCUCUCCGCAUGGAGGGUUCAUUAAAGAGAGCAAUUUUGGUUACAGACGAGCAUGCGCUCCAUUACG
RNAcentral lists this ribosomal RNA (241 nucleotides) under uncultured bacterium. RNAcentral describes it as "partial 16S ribosomal RNA". It matches the Rfam family "Bacterial small subunit ribosomal RNA", at positions 15 to 245 of the family's 1533-position model. The record is from RNAcentral.